Molecule: long non-coding RNA, 986 nt
Filed under: Cricetulus griseus (Chinese hamster)
Lineage: Eukaryota; Metazoa; Chordata; Mammalia; Rodentia; Cricetidae
Description: lncRNA (ENSCGRG00015030097.1)
Source: RNAcentral
UGGAAGGAGGCUCAUAAUCUUAUGUGAUUGUAGUUUUUACUAAUGAAGAAUGUUUAAAGGUGUCAAAAAGCCGGGUGUUAGAGCCAAGCGGUCUCGUUUCACACCACCGAGACGGUCCACGAGUUCCUAUUAGGCUGGAAGACUCUAUUUUUGAAACAGUGUGUGAUCGUCCCCAUCUAGUGGCUCUAAAACAGAUUGAGAUAGCCCCCAAGUGGACAGUGGGAAGCCCUACCUGCAAACCUACUCUACAAACAGGCUGCUAAGCCCAGGAAGACAGAGAAAGAACACACAUCAGUACCACUCUCCUUGAAAUAUAAGGCCACAUGGGAAAUGCUGGCCUAUGGUGCGGGAGGAGGGUAGAUACCCAAACCAGGAUUAAAAAGCCAACCGACCCUAUUUACACGUAAGAUAUUGGUUCUCUCCUCUCUUCUUCCCACCCCACCCCAGGCCAGUCACAAGGUGCGUUGGGAAGACAACAUCCUGUUCUUGAGAAGCUUGAAUUGAUGGUCACACCUGAAACAUCAAAGGCUUUAGAAGCUGAAUCGGAUCCACUGUAUUCAUCUAACAACAUCCCCUUUGGCUUACCCAGAGGAGUCAUCAGUGGAAAGUUCUAAUGCAAUAGCCAUUUCAUGUAUGGCUCUAAGAAAGUGCCCCAUCCAAGAAAACAAGGGCAAUCUGUGCCCCUCCCCACCAUACCUUGGCCUGUUUCCACAUUCUUUAACUAUACUAGCUAACAAGCUGAGGAAUAUAACUGAAGUAUGUUCCUAAGUUCUGUGAGCCAUUCUGGCAAAUUAUCGACCCUGAGAAGGAAGUGGUGGGUGUCUCAAAUUGAACACAAAGAAGAUACCACACUUGCCUGCCUACUUCUUUGAUGUGUGCCUUUUUUCCCAAAGUCAACUUUUUCAUGUUAUUUCACAGUAAAAUCUGCUUCUCCUCUGACUCAGACAAACCAUUUCUGACCACAGUCUUCAUAUUUGAGUCCUACU